GUGAGUCAUCGAGUCUUUGAACGCAUCUUGCACCCCGAUGGAAUUCCGUCGGGUAUGCUUGUCUGAGUGUGUUCAUUCAUCUCAAUCGCCUACCUUUUUAAGGUACGAGAUUGGACCGUGAGUCGGGCGUUUUUUUUAGGUAAAUGCCCACUUUAAUGAGAGCAGGUUGACCACAAGCGCGGUUUGACCGGAUGUUGUAAUUUUCCUCAUUCGGGACGCAAUUGGGCGACUUUAAAGCUAAAAUAACACUUUAGACCUCAGAUCAAGUAGGAGUACCCGCUGAACUUAAGCAUAUCAAUAAGGCGAGG
This 308-nucleotide ribosomal RNA is filed under the name uncultured fungus. RNAcentral's name for it is "eukaryotic LSU rRNA". The stretch from base 1 to 72 matches the Rfam family "5.8S ribosomal RNA", at positions 84 to 154 of the family's 154-position model. The record is from RNAcentral. Lineage: Eukaryota; Fungi.